GACGAACGCUGGCGGCGUGCUUAACACAUGCAAGUCGAGCGGUAAGGCCCUUUCGGGGGUACACGAGCGGCGAACGGGUGAGUAACACGUGGGUGACCUGCCCUCAGCUCUGGGAUAAGCCUGGGAAACCGGGUCUAAUACCGGAUAUGACUCCAUGACGCAUGUUGUGGGGUGGAAAGCCUUGUGCGGCUGAGGAUGGGCCCGCGGCCUAUCAGCUUGUUGGUGGGGNGAUGGCCUACCAAGGCGACGACGGGUAGCCGGCCUGAGAGGGCGACCGGCCACACUGGGACUGAGACACGGCCCAGACUCCUACGGGAGGCAGCAGUGGGGAAUCUUGCGCAAUGGGCGAAAGCCUGACGCAGCGACGCCGCCGUGAGGGAUGACGGCCU
Molecule: ribosomal RNA, 389 nt
Filed under: uncultured bacterium
Lineage: Bacteria
Description: bacterial SSU rRNA
Rfam family: Bacterial small subunit ribosomal RNA
Source: RNAcentral